Molecule: ribosomal RNA, 545 nt
Filed under: Treponema denticola
Lineage: Bacteria; Pseudomonadati; Spirochaetota; Spirochaetia; Treponematales; Treponemataceae
Description: bacterial SSU rRNA
Rfam family: Bacterial small subunit ribosomal RNA
Source: RNAcentral
UGACGGAGCGACGCCGUGUGAAUGAAGAAGGCCGAAAGGUUGUAAAAUUCUUUUGCAGAUGAAGAAUAAGAAGAAGAGGGAAUGCUUCUUUGAUGGCGGUAAUCAUGCGAAUAAGCCCCGGCUAAUUACGUGCCAGCAGCCGCGGUAACACGUAAGGGGCGAGCGUUGUUCGGAAUUACUGGGCGUAAAGGGUAUGUAGGCGGUUAGGUAAGCCUGGUGUGAAAUCUACGAGCUCAACUCGUAAACUGCAUUGGGUACUGCUUGACUUGAAUCACGGAGGGGAAACCGGAAUUCCAAGUGUAGGGGUGGAAUCUGUAGAUAUUUGGAAGAACACCGGUGGCGAAGGCGGGUUUCUGGCCGAUGAUUGACGCUGAUAUACGAAGGUGCGGGGAGCAAACAGGAUUAGAUACCCUGGUAGUCCGCACAGUAAACGAUGUACACUAGGUGUCGGAGCUAGAGCUUCGGUGCCGACGCAAACGCAUUAAGUGUACCGCCUGGGAAGUAUGCCCGCAAGGGUGAAACUCAAAGGAAUAGACGGGGGCCCA